UUGCAAAAAAGCAUACAUUUGGCGACGCCGUUAGCGUCGGCAAAAUUUUUCCAUUCCCCCCAAUUUAUUUGGUUCCCCGCUCAAAUCCCUAUCUCACAAGACCCCAUCUCUCUCAAAUCCUCAGAUCUCUACGCUUCUCCCUCCGCGACCUCCUAGGCUCCGCCUACUUCUCCUCCUGGGACUUGACCGGCGACCCUUGAUCCUCGUUCUUCGGUACCCUCUGCUCCGACGACCGAGUCGUCUCCCUCUCCCUCGGUUCCUCCGUCGUCGGCGUCCCCGGCCUCCUACCCUAGCUAUUCACAAACCCUAGCGGCGAUGGCGGGAGCCCUAACCGGCCUCCAAGAUCACCUGAAGCUCGCGAGGGAGUACGCGAUGGAGGGGCUCUACGACACCUCCAUCAUCUUCUUCGAUGGCGCCAUUGCUCAGAUCAACAAGCAAUUCCUUUUUUUUCCCUUUGAUUCGGUUCGGGUUGAGCUUUGAUUUUGAUUGCAAUUGGAUCCUUUUUCCAAAUCUUUAAUCUCAUGCCAUGGAAAUAGAAUGAGAGUAAAGAUUUGGAAAUCUCGAGACCCCUUGUGUUAUCUCAGUUAAUAGCUCCAAAAUAUCCAGUUCUCUUAUAUAUAAAUAUAUGCAAGUCUAGGACAGGAAAAGCAGUGGGCACUGGAAGUUAACCCAUUAUAUACCAGCAGUCUGGGCACAUGAGCACUCUAGAUGAUGCCAUAAUUCGUUCAAAAUGGAUGAACUGCAAAAAGGCUGUUUUGGGAUCCUGACUGUAAAAUUAUCCUGUUGCUUACAAAAGUGCAAUUUUGUUGCUGUCAGAAGAAGAUCGAAGCUUGCAAACUAUUGCGGCUGAAGAUAAUGGCACUAAGAAUAUAUGCAUUCACUGAUUGAUACACAGGGGUUGCAUUUUGGAUGCAUACUGGAGAAAGACAAACAUCAUGUUUAAGGGAUAAGUACAUCCAAUCUGUCUUACAGCAAGACAUGACAUUUUUGAUACAGAAGCUAGAGAAGAAAACAUACUAUAUCGCAUUUCAAGUGACGCUAUUCUCGUGCAGGAUGCAAUUGGUGAUAAGAUUGGUCACUGUCAGAGGUACCUUUCUCAAUCUUUUUUUGGAUUGGUCAUGGGAUUUUCCACAGUAUGGCAACUUACCCUCCUUGCACUGGCUGUUUUGCCAUUAAUUGUUGUUGCUGGAGGAACAUAUGUGAUAAUUAUGUCCAGCUUGUCCAAGAAGGGUGAGAAGGCAUAUGCUGAAGCUGGGAAAGUUGCCGAAGAGCUACACAACAGAAGUUGGAGAUGGAUGGUGAAGGUGGGAAGAAGAAGCCAGAGACGUGACGAAGGAAAGGCUUGCAACGUUGAUAAGACAUGGGUUCUCUGUAGUCUUUAUUGUUCAAGUCUACUUAAUCAUGAUUGUUGGAUUUGUUAAUAAAACAUGUGUCAAACACUUGUUAUUUGUUUAAUAGAAUUGCGUUUAAAUUUAUUUACUAA
Asparagus officinalis (garden asparagus) is the source of this 1483-nucleotide long non-coding RNA. RefSeq lists it as uncharacterized. The record is from RefSeq and is a predicted model, not a curated record. The transcript is spliced from 4 exons. NCBI's taxonomy places the organism in Eukaryota, Viridiplantae, Streptophyta, Magnoliopsida, Asparagales, Asparagaceae.